GAGUAAUUAAUUUUCGAAAUUGCAUCUUUUACACGUAGAGGUAUAGAGAGAUGGUAAAGUUAGUAUGAAAUCUUUGGCCCACUCGAGUGGUACAUCAUGACGGACAGUAGAAAAAAAAAAAACAUGAAAGUAAAUUAAAAUAAAAUGGGGUCAAAAAAGAUGUAACUGGAUAAAAAAGUUUAAUUAAAAAAAUUUAUUGAGACCUGCAGUACAGGAAGCGAGGAAAGUUGAUAAUUUUUUACGAUUUGAAAUAAAAAGAAGAUUUGUGAAUUUUAAAGAAAAGCUUUUCAUUGUCAGCGAAUUUCAGAGGGAAAAAAAUUCUUUCCAUGAUUAAGAAAAAUAACUGAGUAAACUAUCAUCCACCGGAUCCGUUCUAUUUUGCGUGUGUAGAAUUGGCAUUGACAUGAAAAUGAAUCUCGGAAGAUUAUUGCAUCUAGCUAGUAUUAUACCUCUAAUAAAAGUCGGGGGAAAAUUGUCCAUAAGUGAGUCAAUAAAAUAAUUCAAUAAAUUAAUUAAUCACCAGUCAUCAUAAUCAUAAUUUAUCAUAUGAUAUCAAUUGAAAAUAUUUAUAUGGAACAGUUGAAUAUUUAUGUUUGCAAACGGUAACCCAAAAUUUACAGUCGAUUUAGUGGGUUACUCAUGACAAAUUAAAUGACAUAAUCUCUCAAAAAUGAAUAAAAUUUCCCGGUCACUACUUUAUCGCCGUUUAAAUAAUAGUAUACGAUCGCUGAUAUAAUACUGUUAUGACAUAAUACAGACAGUGCAUUCACACCACUCAACCAAGUAAAGUACGAGUAGAGAAGAUCACCGUCAUCGUCGCUCGCUCAUCGUCAUCAUCUACUCAGUACUAUAGAGCUAGGCAUACCAGCGGCUAAGUCGUCGUCGGUGGGUUCCGUGUCACAGGAAAAGAAGCAUUAUCCACUCAGAGCUCUGUCGGUUCUCUCUUUCGAGCAACCACUUUACUUUGUGCUCUAGUUUAAAUGUGUGUAUUCACCACCCACCUACUUUAAUCCCUCCUAUUUCUUCGUGCCUACUUGUCUAUAUUCUAUGUACCAUAUAUAUUUAUUCAUUAACAAUUCUCCUACAAAGUUAUCGUCACAUGUCAUAAAUACCGAUAUAAAAUAGAUUUUUUCUUAAUAUGU
Long non-coding RNA from Cotesia glomerata, 1142 nucleotides. RefSeq lists it as uncharacterized. The transcript has 3 exons. The record is from RefSeq and is a predicted model, not a curated record. NCBI's taxonomy places the organism in Eukaryota, Metazoa, Arthropoda, Insecta, Hymenoptera, Braconidae.